AUGAACGCUGGCGGCGUGCCUAAUACCUGCAAGUCGAGCGAACAGACGAGGAGCUUGCUCCUCUGACGUUAGCGGCGGACGGGUGAGUAACACGUGGAUAACCUACCUAUAAGACUGGGAUAACUUCGGGAAACCGGAGCUAAUACCGGAUAAUAUAUUGAACCGCAUGGUUCAAUAGUGAAAGACGGUUUUGCUGUCACUUAUAGAUGGAUCCGCGCCGCAUUAGCUAGUUGGUAAGGUAACGGCUUACCAAGGCAACGAUGCGUAGCCGACCUGAGAGGGUGAUCGGCCACACUGGAACUGAGACACGGUCCAGACUCCUACGGGAGGCAGCAGUAGGGAAUCUUCCGCAAUGGGCGAAAGCCUGACGGAGCCACGCCGCGUGAGUGAUGAAGGUCUUCGGAUCGUAAAACUCUGUUAUUAGGGAAGAACAAAUGUGUGAGUAACUAUGCACGUCUUGACGGUACCUAAUCAGAAAGCCACGGCUAACUACGUG
This 496-nucleotide ribosomal RNA is filed under the name uncultured bacterium. RNAcentral describes it as "partial 16S ribosomal RNA". It matches the Rfam family "Bacterial small subunit ribosomal RNA", at positions 29 to 507 of the family's 1533-position model. The record is from RNAcentral.